GAGAGAUUAAAGGCCUUUGCCCUUCAAUCUCAUUCGUUCGUUUCUUCAUUGUUUUGUUUUCUUUGUUUCAGUACCAAUAUUCUGAAACCUUUGAAUCGCUCUUGUUACCCAAGAAGAAGCAACAUGACCAGUGAAGUUUGACAAUAGAAGCAGCAUCAGUUAUUAGAGUAGGCGAGCUGGUUAAAGUUUCCAUGGUGAGCAUAAUGACAUCAUACAUUCUAUACGGGAGGGGUGUGCUGUCAGAUUGCCGCAACUUGUAAAUGUUUAUAUGGAUGUCAAAUUUCUGUGCAGUUGCAAAAACAGGUGUUCUGAGGCUGGUUAAGUGCUGACUAGAGAUUAGAAGACAUUUUAGUUACAGGAAGUGGAUCUUUGAAAAGAAAAUUUGAAAGAAGUUUCAUUAUGUAGUUUAAUGCUUGUAAUAACGAUUGUUACAACAAAAGGAUCAUAUAUGUUUUGUUUAACAUCUCAUGUAUGUCUUUAUUUUUUCAGCCCAUUUUAUUUUUAG
Molecule: long non-coding RNA, 505 nt
Organism: Mangifera indica (mango)
Lineage: Eukaryota; Viridiplantae; Streptophyta; Magnoliopsida; Sapindales; Anacardiaceae
Exons: 2
Source: RefSeq, a predicted model, not a curated record